Molecule: ribosomal RNA, 519 nt
Filed under: uncultured bacterium
Lineage: Bacteria
Description: bacterial SSU rRNA
Rfam family: Bacterial small subunit ribosomal RNA
Source: RNAcentral
AAUCAACGCUGGCGGCGUGCCUAACACAUGCAAGUCGAACGCGAAGACCCCGCAAGGGGUUGUUAGCGUGGCAAACGGGUGAGUAACACGUGGGUGACCUGCCUUCGAGUGGGGGAUAACGUCCCGAAAGGGACGCUAAUACCGCAUAACAUCCUGCCUUUAGAUAGGUGGAGAGCAAAGCUGGGGAUCGCAAGACCCGGCGCUUGAAGAGGGGCCUGCGCCUGAUUAGCUAGUUGGUGAGGUAACGGCUCACCAAGGCAACGAUCAGUAUCCGGCCUGAGAGGGCGGACGGACACACUGGGACUGAGACACGGCCCAGACUCCUACGGGAGGCAGCAGUGGGGAAUUGUUCGCAAUGGGCGAAAGCCUGACGACGCAACGCCGCGUGGAGGAUGAAGAUCUUCGGGUCGUAAACUCCUGUCGAGCGGGAAGAACGUUUCGCGGAUGAAUAAGCCGCGGAAGUGACGGUACCGCUAAAGGAAGCCCCGGCUAACUCCGUGCCAGCAGCCGCAGUAACAC